GUACUCCUGAAGAGUCCCACAAUGGGACGAAACGGCCAUCCAGUAC
Molecule: non-coding RNA, 46 nt
Filed under: Schistosoma haematobium
Lineage: Eukaryota; Metazoa; Platyhelminthes; Trematoda; Strigeidida; Schistosomatidae
Source: RNAcentral